GUAAAUCUUACGAUAGAUGAAAUGAUAUAUUUGACCACUAAGGAUCGGGAAUUGGAAUAACCUGUGAAUUCAUUAAUGUCUACUUAAUUCUUCAUACACACACGUUGGUUUUGCGUUGGAAAAGUGGAUAUUGGUUUGGUAUUGUGACCUUGAAGCGGUUUGUGAAUUUAAUACGAUGAUCUCACAUUCUGAAUUUAGAAGCUAGGCUGUCCAACCAAAUAUUUUUGCAUGCUUGUGUGUUUGUUGUCAUUUAGGUUAUAAUUUUGUUUGAGGGCAAACAAAUGUCUAAGUUUGGGGGUGUUUGAUAAGUGCAUUUUGUGCACUUAUCUACGCCAUUUUAAUAAAUUUUUACGCCGUCAAAUUUUAAUUUUUACUUAACUUGGGCUAAUUUUCUUUCGUUUUUAGUGACGAGCUCGUUUGAAGCAAUUGGAAAGGAAGAUGGACAUUGGUCGUUCAAUUGAUGAAUUCAAGGACUAAAUUGCAUUAUUUGAGAAAGAGGAAAACAUGGGAGAGAAAAUUUGCAUAAAAUAGACAAUAGAAUUAAAUGGAUCUGAAUUGGAUGUGCUUUGGGAAUCAAAAUUCUGGACUUAAAUUAAGAGAAGUGGGCUUGGCAUGUUGGGCUGAAAUUGAGGAAAAAGGGUUGUAGCUGUUGGGGUGUGUGUGUGUGUGUGUGUGUGUGUGUGUGUGUGUGUGUGUAUAUAUAUAUAACGAGGAGGAGACGGAGAACUCGCAGAGGAAGAGGCGGAAGUAAUUGGAGUCCAACAUUGGCAGUUUUAGUGAGACAAAAAGACAGUACUUGCAGCUGCUGGGGAAGAAACAAAAGGCAGCUUCUGGGAGAAACUGUUGGCUAGGAAUAAACUGCAAGUCGGCUGAAAGAGAAUAUACAUACACACACAAAAAAAGGCAGCAAGAGGCAAGAAGAAAAGGCAGAAAACUGAGGCUGAUUUUGGAGGCAAAAAGUGUAGCCGUUUGAUAUACAUAUAUAAACACACGAAGGCACAAAAAAAAAAAAAAAAAAGAGGUCAGAAUUGGGCACCAAGAAUAUAUUAUACACGCACAGAAUCUGGCGAAUUAGGAAAUGGAACGAGCUGCUUGCUGGAACAAAAACAAAAGAAUUCAAAACCAUUGGAGCAGAGAAUUGAAGUUAGAAGAUAACGAGCUGUCACCUGGAAUCUGCCUAUUUAUUAUACACACCUUGACAAAUACGAGGAAGAAGACGUCAACUUUAACAGGGAGAAUUAAUCGCGUUCCGUCAAAGUUUGGUGAUGUCUUCUAACUUGCAUGUGUUUAAUUUCGACUCCAUGCUAGGCUAACGUUUUAAUAUUGUUAGGAUGUGAUGA
Molecule: long non-coding RNA, 1340 nt
Filed under: Olea europaea subsp. europaea
Lineage: Eukaryota; Viridiplantae; Streptophyta; Magnoliopsida; Lamiales; Oleaceae
Source: RNAcentral